CCCACCUGAUCCCAUGCCGAACUCAGAAGUGAAACGCCGUAGCGCCGAUGGUAGUGUGGGGUCUCCCCAUGCGAGAGUAGGACACUGCCAGGCA
This 94-nucleotide ribosomal RNA is filed under the name Serratia proteamaculans. Lineage: Bacteria; Pseudomonadati; Pseudomonadota; Gammaproteobacteria; Enterobacterales; Yersiniaceae. The record is from RNAcentral. RNAcentral also lists the same sequence under 1 other name.